CCUACGGGUGGCAGCAGUAGGGAAUAUUGCUCAAUGGGGGAAACCCUGAAGCAGCAACGCCGCGUGGAGGAUGAAGGAUUUCGGUUCGUAAACCCCUUUCGUCAGAGAAGAUAAUGACGGUAUCUAACGAAUAAGCACCGGCUAACUCCGUGCCAGCAGCCGCGGUAAUACGGAGGGUGCAAGCGUUAUCCGGAAUUACUGGGCGUAAAGAGAGCGUAGGCGGGAUAGCAAGUCAGAAGUGAAAUCCUAUGGCUCAACCAUAGAACUGCUUUGGAAACUGUUAAGCUAGAGUAUGGGAGAGGUAGGUGGAAUUCUUGGUGUAGCGGUAAAAUCCGUAGAGAUCAGGAGGAAUAC
This 354-nucleotide ribosomal RNA is filed under the name uncultured bacterium. RNAcentral's name for it is "partial 16S ribosomal RNA". It matches the Rfam family "Bacterial small subunit ribosomal RNA", at positions 338 to 709 of the family's 1533-position model. The record is from RNAcentral.